UCCGUGUUCACCACGGCAGUCUCCUUAGAGAGCCCAACUGAAUGCUGGCAACUAAGGACAAGGGUUGCGCUCGUUGCGGGACUUAACCCAACAUGUCACCACACGAGCUGACGACAGCCAUGCAGCACCUGUCACCUCGUCGUAUUGCUACGAACUCCCUGUCUCCAGGGAUAGCGAGGGAUGUCAAACCCAGGUAAGGUUCUUCGCGUUGCUUCGAAUUAAACCACAUGAUCCACCGCUUGUGCGGGCCCCCGUCAAUUCCUUUGAGUUUUAGUCUUGCGACCGUACUUCCCAGGCGGGGUACUUAGUGCGUUAGCGCCGCUUCGGCGGGGGUCAAGACCCACCAAAGCUAGUACCCAUCGUUUACGGCGUGGACUAC
Molecule: unclassified non-coding RNA, 379 nt
Filed under: uncultured Oligoflexales bacterium
Lineage: Bacteria; Pseudomonadati; Bdellovibrionota; Oligoflexia; Oligoflexales
Description: contains 16S-23S intergenic spacer region
Source: RNAcentral